This 258-nucleotide ribosomal RNA is filed under the name uncultured bacterium. Its description in RNAcentral is "partial 16S ribosomal RNA". It matches the Rfam family "Bacterial small subunit ribosomal RNA", at positions 99 to 353 of the family's 1533-position model. The record is from RNAcentral.
CGAACGGGUGAGUAACGCGUGAGUAACCUGUCCUGGAGUGGGGGACAACAGUUGGAAACGACUGCUAAUACCGCAUAAGCCCACGGAUCCGCAUGGAUCUGCGGGAAAAGGAUUUAUUCGCUUCAGGAUGGACUCGCGUCCAGUUAGCUAGUUGGUGAGGUAACGGCCCACCAAGGCGACGAUUGGUAGCCGGACUGAGAGGUUGAACGGCCACAUUGGGACUGAGACACGGCCCAAACUCCUACGGGAGGCAGCAUG